This 117-nucleotide non-coding RNA is filed under the name Cercocebus atys (sooty mangabey). Lineage: Eukaryota; Metazoa; Chordata; Mammalia; Primates; Cercopithecidae. The record is from Rfam by way of RNAcentral. RNAcentral also lists the same sequence under 2 other names.
GCCGGGCAUGGUGGCUCAUGCCUGUAACCCUAGCACUUUGGGAGGCUGAGGCAGGUGGAUCGCUUGAGCCCAGGAGUUCAAGACCAGCCUGGGCAACAUAGCAAGACCUUGUCUCUU